Long non-coding RNA from Tupaia belangeri chinensis (Chinese tree shrew), 3050 nucleotides. RefSeq lists it as uncharacterized. NCBI's taxonomy places the organism in Eukaryota, Metazoa, Chordata, Mammalia, Scandentia, Tupaiidae. The transcript has 2 exons. The record is from RefSeq and is a predicted model, not a curated record.
CAGAAAAGAUGCAGAAUGUAGUGUUUGCUUUUAGUUUAUUAAUUUAUUUUGCAGGAAUCUUUGACUUUCCGAAUAUGUACUGUUUGGAGGUACGUUGCAUGCAUAGCCUUGUAAGAUGCCUUUGUACAAUUUCAUCUCAAAAUAAUUUCAUUCACAGCAUACACAGAAAUCUAAGAGACAUGGUAUUUACAAGAUUUAAUAAGUUCUUGCUGCUUUAAUGAAGAAACUGAUCAAUUCUUUUACAGUAGGGCAAGAAUCAUGGACAUUGGGCGUCAUUAUAAAUAAGAAUUCAGAAUUGUUCAGUCUCAAAGCAACUUUCCAUGGCUUUAGAAAUUAAAAUUGAGUCAUCAUCUAUUAAUCUCUGAAUGCCCAAGCCAUGCAAAGUCUACUUGUAUUAAAUAUUUGGGGAUGCAAAUAAUACAGGAACAAAAAGGGAUCAUGUCUGGUGAAUGUGAAAACAUCAUCAGAAUUAACUUUUACAACAGGAAAAUACUGUUAAUUCUUUCAAAUAGAUACAGUAGUGGUGCAACACAGACAGUGCCCGAUUUAUUCUGAUUUUUUUUAAGGUAACAUUUCAAUUGUCAUUUUUUCUUUCUCUACAGAUAUACAGACACACACUGUAACAUGGACUCAUUCAAGGUCUAACAAUGAUACGAUAUUAAAAUAAUUCAGUUUUUAACUAUAAAGGGACAUCUUCACAUUCCAGGAUACAUCAUUGAUAUUUUUAAAGGACAAUUCUUCUAUGCCUUAUAGUCAGUCUUUCUCUUUGUUUAUACUUUCAGAAAGACACUGCAAUUGCCUUUUAAAAGACUAUAUAAACUGAGUUGCCACAGGAAGUUGGAUAUGAACCCUAGAUAACUGUGACAAGGCAAUAACAAAAUUUAAGGAAACAUUGAUUUCUUUUAAUAAUUAAAAAGUACUAAAAUUGAGACCAGCUCCUUAAAAAUUAAACUGCUUAUCACACUUCCCACUGCUUUCAGGGAAAUAAACAAAUUAGCAACACUUUCCCCACCAUCAUUAAUCUGCUCUAAAACUACAUUUUUACAAUGCAUUUCUUUCAUUUCUUUACCCCCCACCCCCCGCCUCUCCUUUCUCUCAAACAAGUUCAAUAUGAAUUCCAAACAUUUUACAAUGUUUGGAGAGUUUCUGACUCCUCUAUUACCACUUUAAACUUUUAAGAACCACUCCAAAGUUUAAGGGGUAAUGUACUUUAACAGGAUGGCAAACGUGCUUUCUAAAAACCCAGUUUACAAAACAGCAAAACCAUGGAAAAUGUAUAGCCAGGUCUAUUUAUUACCAGAUAUACCCAACUAGCUGUAUUUUAAGAAACUCUCUGACAAUAAACAAGAAGUGUACCAACUGACCCAAAGCGCACAGGCACCUCAGCAGCCGGGCACCAUCCAAUUUUCAGUCUAUCACUCACAUGCCAAUUGUCUGUCUGUACCAAUCUGACUAGAUUCUUUGGGAAAGGCACCCUGAAAGUCGGGUGCCUUCUUGUUCAAACAGAUAAGUAGUCUGCAUAUGGGACACGGUGUUUAAACAGACGAGUAGUAGUCCGUAUAUGGGACACAGUUAAGUCUAUCAGAUUCAACAGCGUCAGAUCAUUUAGCUUAUUUUAAAAAUGAAAUAAAGCCUACGUUGGCAUAUUGCAAUUUGUGCACGAUUAAAAAUGAGUACAAACUUCCUUGAAAUCAGUCUCUGAUGUCUCAUACCCCAUCCUCCAUACCUUUCCAACAGACUGUUUUCUCAUUCUUCCUGGCAGGUGAAAACAAUGAUUGACUAGAUAUAUCACCAAAAGACUGAAACCAUGCAUCUACUGUAUGACAACAGCUUAUUAACCUUGAUGUAUUUUCAUGCAAUAGUUUUAAAGUCAUCUACAUGGUUUUAAUAAAGCAUCAGACUGUUUUCAGACAUGCUACUUUCAUUCUCAACUGACAACUGCCAAGUUAAUUGCCGCCACUUCGGAACAUCACUAUGAAUACUGGGAAACCUUUUUAGCUAGAACACCAAGCAGUAUAUAUAUAUUUUCUCCCUCAAUUUUACUUAAAACCAAGUAGGGUACACCAUCACUAAAGAGAUAUGAAACCAUACAAAGGCAAAGGCAUAUUACAGAACAGUAGGACUGCUCGACUUUUAUUAGAGACUGACAGAGACCAGUGUUACAAAAGCCUUGAAAGAAUGCUGUUCUCAGGUCCAUUUUUAAGCCCAUCUGCUUUUUCACCAUUAUUUUCACAGUUUUGCCACAGUGGUAUACGAGAGAUGUUUUAACAGUGUAAUGACAUAACCAUGCUUACUUUGGGAGACAAGUGGAUAUAUAUUAGGGAAUUUUCCACAUAUAAAAAACAUGUUUUCAAAGCUGUAGGCAGAGUGUGAAACUAUGAUUUUGAUGGAAAACUGACAAGUUAUUAUGCCUUUGGUUUCAUUAUGCUACUAAGUGCAGCUUGUUUUUCCAGGUCUGCCUGAAACUACUGCAAAAUUAGCAUAUAAAUGACAGCAUGAAGGGUGUGUGUGUGUGUGUGUGUGUGGCAGGGAGGGGGCACCUGGUAAGGGAGAGUGGAUAUUCCCAAGGUACAACCUCUGGUAAAAAUCCUUUAGGAUGGGAAAACCUAUCAACUUUAUUGCUGUUUAUUAUAUUCACCAAAAUGAGGGGAGAUUCCAAACUCCAAUUCUGAGCUAAGGAAGUUCAACAAUGGCAGAGACUUUAAUUAAAUCUGCUAUUAUUCAUUUUCCAGUGAUGUACCCUAGUGAGUCACAUGGUUUUGUACCUCUUCAGUUAUCCAUGCUCUGAAGUUGUUUCACAAGGAGCGCGUUCAUAUCACCUAAAUUGCCUGAAUGAACGCAAUAUAAUCUCUGAAUACAGUAAUGUUAAUUUUAUAAAACUGUUUGUCUCAAAGUUCACUCUUUCUCUUAAAAAUGUUUCUUGACAAUCUGUCCCUUACUCCCCAACUAAUAUAGUAUGCAACUUUAUACCGGCCAACUGUAAUUUCCCUCACAGUGGUUUAUCAUCACAUGUGCAAAUAGAUCUUUAUUGAACAGCUAGUAUUGAUUUU